AGGUGGGUUUUGGGAGGUGAACUGUUUACGAACCGCAGUGUCACGGAACAUCCACGAGGAAAAACCAUGAAACAAUGUGGAGUUAGAAAACGGCGGAGAGCCGGAGAGUGUUUCAGACCUGAAGACCUGAAGAGCUGCGGGGGAACAGUGAGGGUCUGUGGAGGAAUGCUGACGUCAUCCCCGGGGGAACGAUCAGAGACAUCGUGUUCAACAACUCAUCAGUCUGAGGGAGUUUCUGCCUCUUUAUGGAGCCUGAUGGUGAACCACCUGAUUUGGGACCAGACUGGAUUCAGACGAGGAAAAACACUGUUUCAGCAGGAGCUUAUCUUUCAUUGAAUAAACAGGGGCUGGAAGACUGGAUAUUUGUCAUUCAUGCACAUUUACUGAGACGGAAUGACAGCCGCUUGUUACUCAGAGGAGAAAUUAUCAGCAUGAGAACAGGAACAGGAAGAGUGAAGACACAUCACAACAUCAUUAAAUUUUUUCUUUGUCUCUCCAUCCACACAGUAAAGGAAUGGAAACUGGCAUUAUUCAUAACAACCCCAUUAGGGGUGUGGCUUCCAUUUUCAAUCAAACAUAUUUUAAACCCGUUUACAGCCUAAAGGCCACGCCCACUAAACUGUAAAUUACCCAGUGAAAAGCCACACCCACUAAACUCUGAAUAGCCCAGUCAUAGGCCACGCCUAAUAAACGGUGACUGGUCCAGUCAAAGGCCACACCCACUAAAACAAUGAUUGACCCAAACACUGUCCACACUGACUGAAGUGGAAAUGAAACAAAUUGGAGGAGUCCAUUCUUUUUUCUCUUCAUUAGGACUGAUAUAGAGGCCACGCCUCCUCAUAGAAACUGAUACAGAAGCCACGCCCCUUCAAUGAGGCUGAUGGCUCAUUACCUCUUUAUCUGUGUAGAGCUGCUUUUGUAAAAAAGGCUAUAAAAAUAGAAAUAAAUGAACUGAACAGAGGCUAA
Long non-coding RNA from Silurus meridionalis, 966 nucleotides. RefSeq lists it as uncharacterized. The record is from RefSeq and is a predicted model, not a curated record. NCBI's taxonomy places the organism in Eukaryota, Metazoa, Chordata, Actinopteri, Siluriformes, Siluridae. The transcript is spliced from 3 exons.